CCCUUAGAUGUUCUGGGCCGCACGCGCGCUACACUGAUGCAUUCAACGAGUCUAAAACCUGCUCUGAUAGGGGUGGGUAAUCUUUUGAAUGUGCAUCGUGAUUGGGAUAGAUGAUUGCAAUUUUUCAUCUUCAACGAGGAAUGCCUAGUAAACGCAAGUCAUCAGCUUGCAUUGAUUACGUCCCUGCCCUUUGUACACACCGCCCGUCGCUCCCACCGAUUGAAUGAUCCGAUGAAUAUCAUGGAUUGAGGAUUAUAGCAGGUUCGCCUGUCUUGAUCUUCGAGAAGUGAAGUAAAUCUUAUCAUUUAGAGGAAGGAGAAGUCGUAACA
This 329-nucleotide ribosomal RNA is filed under the name uncultured eukaryote. RNAcentral's name for it is "partial 18S ribosomal RNA". It matches the Rfam family "Eukaryotic small subunit ribosomal RNA", at positions 1470 to 1796 of the family's 1831-position model. The record is from RNAcentral.